Molecule: small nucleolar RNA, 138 nt
Organism: Ornithorhynchus anatinus (platypus)
Lineage: Eukaryota; Metazoa; Chordata; Mammalia; Monotremata; Ornithorhynchidae
Source: RefSeq, a predicted model, not a curated record
ACCCUCUCAGGGUCAUACCUGGAGAGUUUCCAGUACUUUACCAGUCUCGACUACAGGAGGGAAAGUCAUGCAGAGGCAUACCCAUUCCAUUCCUAGCUUGGCCAGUGGCUAGCAAGUGUAAGACAAUAUGCUCCAAGU